AAGUCGUAACAAGGUUUCCGUAGGUGAACCUGCGGAAGGAUCAUUAACACGUAUCCACGUAUCCACCCCUGUGCACAUGUACGUGUCUGGUUUGUUGAGUGAUAGGAAGUGAGGAUUGAGCACUCCGACCGGAGUGAACUCCGAUCUAUCUUAUCUAGCGCUGCGAGCGCGAGCUCGGUAAAUUUCAGGCAUUUUUAACCAUACCAUUUACCCCAAUGACUAAUUAGAAAUAAGAGUGUGGUUCGCCCACGUUCUUUGUUUCGACCUACGAAAUGUAACAACUCUUAGCAACGGAUAUCUUGGUUCUC
Molecule: unclassified non-coding RNA, 308 nt
Filed under: fungal sp.
Lineage: Eukaryota; Fungi
Description: partial internal transcribed spacer region
Rfam family: Eukaryotic small subunit ribosomal RNA (bases 1-46)
Source: RNAcentral